RNAcentral lists this ribosomal RNA (454 nucleotides) under uncultured bacterium. RNAcentral describes it as "partial 16S ribosomal RNA". It matches the Rfam family "Bacterial small subunit ribosomal RNA", at positions 28 to 507 of the family's 1533-position model. The record is from RNAcentral.
GAUGAACGCUGACAGAAUGCUUAACACAUGCAAGUCUACUUGAACUUCGGUUUGGGUGGCGGACGGGUGAGUAACGCGUAAAGAACUUGCCUCACAGUUAGGGACAACAUUUGGAAACGAAUGCUAAUACCUGAUAUUAUGAUUUUAGGGCAUCCUAAAAUUAUGAAAGCUAUAUGCGCUGUGAGAGAGCUUUGCGUCCCAUUAGCUAGUUGGAGAGGUAACGGCUCACCAAGGCGAUGAUGGGUAGCCGGCCUGAGAGGGUGAACGGCCACAAGGGGACGGAGGCACGGCCCUUACCCCUUCGGGGGGCAGGAGUGGGGAAUAUUGGACCAUGGACCAAAAGUCUGAUCCAGCCAUUCUGUGUGCACGAUGACGUUUUUCGGAAUGUAAAGUGCUUUCAGUUGGGAAGAAAAAAAUGACGGUACCAACAGAAGAAGUGACGGCUAAAUACGUG